AAGGGCGAAGCGCAUAAAAUUCAGUUCGAAGUGUUUGUUUAUCUGCUUCGGGUUUAUGUGUUUAAUACCAAAAAAUGGUAAACGCGGAAUAUGCAAAUCCGUAGAAUCGUUGAAGACCACGCUCCCAUCUGGUGUUUCGAACGCGUCUUGGCUUUUAACUUCCAUCGACAAAAUUAGCGGAAUGCACACCAAAGAGCAUAAAAUGUACGUAAAGCAGAUGCGACGUAUCGCCAUACGGCGAGAAUAGUCGCGAGGGAACAAGAAAUGAAGUGGAAAGCGUUAGUGAAUACGGAGUGGAAUAUAAUGAACGACGCGAAUUCGUGGCUAAAGUAAAUGGAACUUUUAUCUUGGAGGGCAUCGCAUAGGUUUCGUAGUGAGGACGAAGAUGUUCAAGAUGUUGAGGAUCGAACCGAGGGAGCAAACGGUCAAACUUAGGUAUACGUGAUAACUUCGGAAAAUUAGGCUGAAUUGUUUCAGGUUGCAGUAUGA
Cylas formicarius (sweet potato weevil) is the source of this 489-nucleotide long non-coding RNA. RefSeq lists it as uncharacterized. The record is from RefSeq and is a predicted model, not a curated record. Lineage: Eukaryota; Metazoa; Arthropoda; Insecta; Coleoptera; Brentidae. The transcript is spliced from 4 exons.